Long non-coding RNA from Cercocebus atys (sooty mangabey), 1676 nucleotides. RefSeq lists it as uncharacterized. The record is from RefSeq and is a predicted model, not a curated record. Lineage: Eukaryota; Metazoa; Chordata; Mammalia; Primates; Cercopithecidae. The transcript has 3 exons.
UUUGCCUCUAAUUUCCUGUCUUCAUUUUAGGGACAGAAUCCAGAGUGUGUGAAUCAGAAUUAUUUUGACUGAAAGCCCUGGAAACUCAGCUCAAAUUGGCUGAAGUUGACCUGUGCUCUCAGGCAGCCUCUCCCCACAUGAUGGUGAAGAUGACCACCAGUUGGAUCAGACGUUUAUCCUACCAUCUCAGCAACGCUGGCAGAAAGGGAGCACUUUCUCUGCAGAUGUUCUAGCAAAAGUCUCAUGGCUGAAUUUCAUUGACUUCGCUUGAGUCACAUGCUCACCCCUGAACCACUCUGAUUGACUAUUCUUGGGACAUGCGCUCACCUUGGAGCUGAGAGGAGGAUUAGCCCCAUCCAAACAUCACCAAGUAAGAGAGGCAGAGGCGCUGCACAGGAAAUGGGGCCCCAAAGCCAGAGGAAUGGAGAGUGGGCGCUGAGCAGAUGUGAAGAAUGGAUGUCCGCCUUCAGGGCCAGGCUGGGAUCUUAUGGAUGGAUCUUAUGAAGUAGCUCAGGGGCUCUCUAUGGUUUUCAUUUCUAGAGUCCUGGGAUGUUAGGGCCAGACAAAAGCUCAGAUCUUAUGCAUCUUCUGCCCAACUCUGCAUUUUACAGAUGAGAAAAUUGAAGCUUGAGAAGAUGGGGGCCAUUUGCCCAAAGUCCCUGAGUAUGAAACAUCUAGGGGAGGAGGGCACUGUAUCAACAGUGUAUCAACUUCCAUAUCAACAGUUCUUCUCUGAGUGGCUCAUACCCAUGCUACAGAAGAAGGACUUUUACCCAACCAUGAUGCUACCAAGUCUGUAGCAUCCUAGUACAGAUUGUCCACCACUCAUCACUCAUGUAUGGUCUAGAGACCAGGAGCAUCAGGAUUACCUGGGAGCUGGUGAGAAAGGCAGAAUUUCACGCCCCGCCCCAGACCUACUGAAAUAGAACCUUCACGUGAAAAAGGUCCCCAGCUGAUUGUGUGCAUGUUGAAAUUUGAGAAGCGCUGGUCUCUACCAUGGACAAAAGAGUUCCAGGUGACUCUUCCAUCUGGCCAGGAUUACAGUUAAUCCUAAAACAAGUUCUCUUCUCCUAAACCUUGCAGAAGAGGAGGAUUUUGCAAUCUAUGAGCUUACCAGAAGAUGAUUUCUGGCAUGGGAGACUCUGAGCCAUACUCACCCAGCUAAGCUGCCCCCGGAUUCCUGACCUGCAAGACACGAAGUGAGAUAAUAAAUGGUCUUGUUGUAAGCCUUUCCGUUUCUGGGUAAUUCAUUGUGCAGCAGUAGAUAACUGAUACCAGACCCUUCACUGAGUCUUUUGGGCUUGAAAUGGAGAGAGUCAGGCUAAUUUGGGAUUUGGGAUCUCUUGGCAGACAUUAUUUCCUAUCAUAAAGAUCAGAAUGCCAGAAGAAGCCAGUUUCCAAGCAAGAGAGGGCAAAAUGAGAGAGGGAGAGUGGGAGAGAGAAAGAAGAGAACAGAGAGACGACUGAGGUGUGUGUGUUAUUUCUACCAUUUAUGGGUGACAAAACCCAGAUUUACCUUUACAGGGAUGAGUCUUUUCCCACUCUGUGUUCAUUUCGUUCGAUAGAUCUGGCUGGACGCCCUCGCUUCCUGGGUAAUUAUGUAAUUUACAUAGUUUUAGCGUCAAUAUGAAGUAGUUUCUGAAGCUAGCCUCUGGGGUUUUCAGUUAUCUGAGGCA